Neurospora crassa OR74A is the source of this 916-nucleotide non-coding RNA. NCBI's taxonomy places the organism in Eukaryota, Fungi, Ascomycota, Sordariomycetes, Sordariales, Sordariaceae. The record is from RefSeq and is a predicted model, not a curated record.
AAUGUCCAAGUACCCUCCCAUUCGUUUCGUUCCAAUCACUUCUCCCCGGGCUCUCACACCAUUUUAGAUCAGACAGCAAGCUAAAAAGACUCGUCUUUCACAGAGGAAACACCCAAUGUCCUACCUUGCGACCUUUCAGAUUUGAUUUCUUCCGACACUUCAGCAUUGACAGCGACGCCACCCACGGCACCGAGCGCUCUGCAAACUGCAAUACCUCAACUCUACCAGAUAACAAGUCUCCAACAGAUCCAACGAUUUUUACAAGCAAGGGCCACAACACCACAAGUUCACAUACCAGCCAUUUCCCCCAAUACCAUACCAAUCCCUCCAACGCCACGAAUCCACGCAUUCGUCUCCAUCGAAGCUAUCGAGCCGUACACCUACGCGACUAUUUAUAUCCCAAUGCUGUUCACCGAACUCCUUGUUCCGUUGCGCUUUGCUGCUAUAAGCCGAUCUUUAGAGAGAGCCAGGCAGAAUCUGCCUCUCUCGUCUUCAUAGUUUACCAACAAGUUGCAACAACCAAGGCCAACUCUCAACCUCCGUUACGCCAUUUUGUUCUCGCUCUAUGUCUUUUUGACCCCUCUAUAUGUUGGAUAACAGCGCAAAAAUGCAUCCCCAGAAGAAGAAAUGUUGUCUGAACCUACUAUAGACUGCAGACACAUGUGCAGUACGAGCCUCAGUCGUCUGUUAGAUCAAUCUCAACCUUGCCGUCUUCCAACCGCCGCUUUUUGUAGCGGGAAGCGAACAGAGCUGCGUCCAUGGGCUCUCUCUUGAUACCACGGGCUUCGACGGCAAGUUCGGGCUUGAUACGCUUAAUACGCUGCCACAAAACAUUCUGCAGUUAGCCCAGCUUGUUGUGCUUUGGCACAGUAGAUCUAGAGAAGACAAGAGAAAUGCGUACCAUGAACUCUUCCUC